GACAACCAGUCCAUCAAGCUGAGUACCGCCUGUUCUGAGCCCGACUCCACGACACCUCAGGAGACUGGCAGGCCUGAAUCCAGAGGCGUGGAAGUCCCCAGCCAGAACCUGCGGGCCACUGCAGGAGAGGUACCCCCUGCUGUGAGCCUAUUGUCUAUAGUUCUUAGGAUUGUUUGCUUUUGCUUGUGUGUUGCCUUGAAGUAAGUGUGAAGUAAAACUUAUAUACUCAAAACCAACUCACUGAGUUUGUCAUUCCUCCCAGGUCAAAACCUGGUAAGGGCUCGAGACACCAGGUUACAAGGAUUGCAGCUGGUGCAAAAGGACCCUUUGGUCUCGGGUGACUGAAGCCUACUAGCCUGGAAUUCUAUGGGAUCGCUGCCUGGAUCCAUGCAUCACACUGGAAACCUGCUCCAUCCCAUCCAGAGCCGUCCCCUAGUUGGAGGCUAUUGUGUCUCCCGAAGUUGGACUCCCUUUUGGGCCCAACACUAUCUGGGCAUUUAUGAUUGCCAAGGAUUUGAACCCUGGUCAUCAUGCUUGUGUAACUCCUCCCCAGCCCUGAUUCUCUUAUUUAUUUAUUUGGUUUUUCGAGAUGGUUUCUCUGUGAACCCCUGGCUGUCCUGGAACUCUGUAGUCCAGAUUGGCCUUGAACUCACAGAGGUCCACCUGCCUCUGCCUCUCAAACACUGGGAUUAAAGGUGUAUGCCACCAUGGCUUGGCUCUAUUAUUUUCUAAAUGUGUUUUUUGUUAGAUUGUCUUCCUUGUUUUUCUUUUUCAAGACUAUAGCCUGGCUGGCCUGGAUGCUGAUAGUUUCUGAAGAAAUUUAACACACUACGUAGGUCAGGCUGGCUUUGCACUCACAGAAAUCUGCCUGCCUUUACAUUGAAUGCUGAUAUUAAAGACACUGAUGAACCAACCAGCCUGCCUCCAUGUUAGGCUUGAAGGCUGUCUUAUAGUAAAAACAAACUAGGAUUCUUCCUGUUUGUUAUUAAAGCUGUUUCUCAAGGAUUGAGCCAUUUUAACUACAAAUGGUUCUGUAUUGCCUGUUCCAUAGCAGCUAUGUUUUUGUUUCAAAGUUAUGACCAUCUUGCAACCCUACUUGUUUUAAAAGGUUAUUAUAACCACCUGCUGUUUAGUUCUGCUUCUGGAACCCAUCUAUUUGCCUGCCAAAUCUCCGUUUGGAAACCCCCUACCCUGGAGCUAUUAAAACCUCACCUUCCCAGGUCAAUGCUGACUUAUGAAACCUGCCUGAGGGGAUGGCAGCCCAUCUACAUGAAUAAAAAAGCUUGCUUUAAUUAAUUUGGCCAUGAUAAUUAGUGUUGGUGGUCUUUCUCUCUCUCCUCUUUGGGAUUACCAACACCCAGAAAAUUUUAGCUUACUUUUUUUUAAGUUAGAAUUUCUUAAAU
RNAcentral lists this long non-coding RNA (1403 nucleotides) under Cricetulus griseus (Chinese hamster). RNAcentral's name for it is "lncRNA (ENSCGRG00015030487.1)". The record is from RNAcentral. Lineage: Eukaryota; Metazoa; Chordata; Mammalia; Rodentia; Cricetidae.